Molecule: small RNA, 1370 nt
Filed under: Rattus norvegicus (Norway rat)
Lineage: Eukaryota; Metazoa; Chordata; Mammalia; Rodentia; Muridae
Description: uncharacterized LOC102554174
Source: RNAcentral
CACAACCAAUCUGUAUAUCUAGUUCCAGAGGACCUGAUGAAAGUAAUUUUUUUUUUAAGAAAGAAAAUAAGAUAACCUCCAGGUGAAUACAAAGAUCAGGGAGAAACAGCAGGGGAAACUGAGCCAUCCCAAGUCCUGCUCCUGAUAGUGACAUAUUAAGUACAUUAUGGAUACAUAGGAUACAUAUGGAUACAUAGAACAGAGAACACAGAAGCCAUUGUCUUGGACCAUGAGAACAAGGACCACAAGCCCAGGAAGGGGACUGUGGAGCAGUGAAUAAAAGGGAGUCAAGAGCUCUGACUGCAAGAGCAGAGCACCUACCUCUCAGAGUUGAUGCCUUACCUCCUUUGAGCCACCCUUUUGUUUGCAUGGCAGCUUUGGUUUAGCGAUUGCUUUUGUGUGCUGCUUCUACCCUUAUUACUUUGCUGCAUCCAUUCAGCAUUCACUCUCGUCUCCCUGCCUUGAGGGAUGGCCUCCAUCACCAACACUAGCUAUGGUUGAGCAAGUCUACCCAAUGGCAAUUCUUCCCAUUUCUGUUCUCCACCCAAUACUAUGCCUUUCACAUUCACAUUGUCAGCAUGGGUCCCAUUGGUAUGCUUUUGACUGACAGUCUCACUUUAAAGGUGGAGGUAGGCUGGGGGUGGUUUAUCUUUUCUUCUUAGUCUCUGAAAUGCCAGAAUUGUGCCUUUUGCUCUGCAGCACCAGAUGCCACCUUAGAUGCCCUGAUUUGUGACCGUAUCUCACUCACUAAGUAUCAUACCACCACCUUCAGGCCUCUUAUGCUUAGCUACAUUUAGGUGCCUGCCACAUGGUGGUAUAACAACUUACAAAAGUAUUUUGACCGAUACAUCUGAACUAGAACCUAGUACCUACUUCAUAUCCAUUCCUUCUGGACAUUUCUCUUUGGCUGUAUCUUGUUUGUUUUGGGGUAGAGUCUUACCGUGUAUCCCUGGCUGGCUUCAGAGUCACAAACUUCUUGCCUUAGUCCCCCAAGUGUUUAAUAAUAAAAUUUGUAUUUUAUAACUGGUUGCAUAGCAACUUACCACCAGUACUACAUUUCCCACUGCUCCUUGCUAACUGUACUCAUGUGUAAGUUAUGGCAGGAAUGUGUAUCAUUUCCAGGUCAUGUUCUUUAUGUGGAUGCAUGUGUUUACUGUAUGCAUGUGCAUGCAGAUACCUGUGCGUAUGUGUGAGCAUACACAGAGGUCAAAGAGUCAUGUUGUCUUCAGUUGCUCUCUACAUUAUCUCUUGAGACAAGGUCUCCCACUGAACCUAGCACUCACAGUUGACUGGACUAGCCAGCCAGGUAAGUCCAGGAAUCUGCCUGUUGCCACCCAACCCUGCACUGGGGUUUGGCUUUUUUUUUUUUU